AUGUAAAAGGUUUUAUUAAAGCAAUCACAACAUGAAGCUAUUACUCUUUGUUUCCGCAUUAAUUGCAGCUCUGUGCAGCUCAUUUGUGACUGCUGAUUGCUUAACGGACCCCGUGACAAUGCUGUGCAUUUUGGACCCAAAUCAUGGCAAAUAACUUUGUAUAUCACCUGGCUCAAUAAAGCACAAAAGUAGAACACGAUGUGGGCUUCUGUAUCCUAAGUAAUUCAACAGUCUCCCCAGACUGAGUUACGUGUGGCAAAUCGCAUUAAACAUUCCACGCCCACCGCCUCCACACUACCAGACAUCUUUUUUGUUAAGGUCUUAUACCCUGUCGUUGGGUAUUUCGAAACUGCGAUUAACUAUGUAACGCUUAUUGAAAGAUAUAUUCUUCUGAAUUCUGAAUUGCCCUAUGUUACAGUUUUAAUAUCUUUUAAACAUCAUUAAAUCAUUUUUUGUAAUGGGUAUUUUCAGUGUCGUGGCAUAAAUAUGUAGCAGUUGUUUGU
Molecule: long non-coding RNA, 503 nt
Filed under: Drosophila melanogaster (fruit fly)
Lineage: Eukaryota; Metazoa; Arthropoda; Insecta; Diptera; Drosophilidae
Description: long non-coding RNA:CR33942 (Dmel_CR33942)
Source: RNAcentral